GCCCCUGUAGCUCAGUGGAUAGAGUACCAGCCUCCGAAGCUGGGUGCGCCGGUUCGAUUCCGGCCAGGGGCACAA
Molecule: transfer RNA, 75 nt
Filed under: Deltaproteobacteria bacterium RIFCSPHIGHO2_02_FULL_40_28
Lineage: Bacteria; Deltaproteobacteria
Also listed under: 3 other names
Description: tRNA-Arg
Rfam family: tRNA
About the family: Transfer RNA (tRNA) molecules are approximately 80 nucleotides in length. Their secondary structure includes four short double-helical elements and three loops (D, anti-codon, and T loops).
Source: RNAcentral